AUUGGAUCAAAGUAUGCGAAUCAUCCAGGCCAUGAUAGAUAUAUGUGCUAAUAGUGGGUGGAUUUCAAGCUCAAUUACUUGCAUGCAUCCUCUGCAAAUGGUCGUGCAGAUUUAUCUGGCCUGAGGAAGGGUUGGAUGUGAGUUAACCAGACCUUCAGAGACCCCUAAAGCAUGAGAAAUAUUUGCAACCUUAAGUUUUAAAUUCCGUGGCGAGAACUAUUUCAAAGAUAGCGAAAGUCAACUGCUCCGAACUACAAUCCAUAU
This is a non-coding RNA of Prunus avium (sweet cherry), 264 nucleotides long. The record is from RefSeq and is a predicted model, not a curated record. NCBI's taxonomy places the organism in Eukaryota, Viridiplantae, Streptophyta, Magnoliopsida, Rosales, Rosaceae.